RNAcentral lists this ribosomal RNA (547 nucleotides) under Psammodromus algirus. RNAcentral describes it as "partial 16S ribosomal RNA". It matches the Rfam family "Bacterial large subunit ribosomal RNA", at positions 1808 to 2608 of the family's 2925-position model. Lineage: Eukaryota; Metazoa; Chordata; Lepidosauria; Squamata; Lacertidae. The record is from RNAcentral.
CAAAAACAUAGCCUUUAGCUUUACAAGUAUUAAAGGUCCCGCCUGCCCAGUGAUAUUUUAAACGGCCGCGGUAUCCUAACCGUGCAAAGGUAGCAUAAUCACUUGUCCCCUAAAUAGGGACUGGAAUGAACGGCUACAUGAAGACUUUACUGUCUCUUGCUGCUAGUCAAUGAAACUGAUCUCCCAGUACAAAAGCUGGAAUAAUCUCAUAAGACAAAAAGACCCUGUGGAGCUUUUAAACCAAGUACACCAAAAUGUUCUAUCACGGUUUUUAGUUGGGGCGACUUCGGAACAAAAUAAAACUUCCGAAACCAUGGAAUCAUACCCAUAUCUAAGGCCAACACGCCAAGAUGAGUCAUCUACUUGACCCAGUUUACCACAUACUGAUCAAUGAACCAAGUUACCCCAGGGAUAACAGCGCCAUCUUCUUUUAGAGUCCAUAUCGACAAGAAGGUUUACGACCUCGAUGUUGGAUCAGGACACCCAAAUAGUGCAGCCGCUAUUAAAGGUUCGUUUGUUCAACGAUUAACAGUCCUACGUGAUCUGA